UUUCCGUAGGUGAACCUGCGGAAGGAUCAUUACUGAGUGAUGGCCCUCUGGGUCCAACCUCCCACCCUUGUUUAUUAUACCUUGUUGCUUCGGUGAGCCCGCCUCACGGCCGCCGGGGGGCAUCUGCCCCCGGGCCCGCGCCCACCGAAGACACCUAGAACUCUGUAUGAAGAUUGCAGUCUGAGCAAAAACUAAAUAAGUUAAAACUUUCAACAACGGAUCUCUUGGUUCCG
This 233-nucleotide unclassified non-coding RNA is filed under the name plant metagenome. Its description in RNAcentral is "partial contains small subunit ribosomal RNA, internal transcribed spacer 1, and 5.8S ribosomal RNA". The record is from RNAcentral.